ACCACAAUCAACCAGCAUGGUAAAAAUGAUCCCUGCUCAGAGUGCCUUGGAAAUAUUUUUUUGCAGAGAGAGAAGCUAGCGGGGAAGGAACCUCUUCCACUUUGGAAGAUGAAGAAUUUUCUGAAUAUGAGGAUCAUGUCUCUGUCAAUUCGGAGUCUGACAGUGAGUUGGAAGAAGAGGAUGAGAUUUACCCUUAGUCAGCCCCAGGACCAGCCCGUCAGCAGCUACCCCCAGGACCAGCACGUUAGCAACCAGCUCAUCAGCAGCCUGCAAGAGGAGAAAUAUGGCUGUCAAAAUUGUGAAAUUGAAUGGUCUUCUUGCCCAAGGAAUGAGACUACAUAGCUACUAAUGUGAUAAGGAUGCAACCAGGACCGACGCAGAUGGCAGUUACUCAUGUGCAGGACAUGAAGUAUUUUUUUGAACUGUUCAUCCGAGACACCAUCCAGAAAAUCAUUCUGGACUGCACUAAUUUGGAGGAAAGGCGUGUUUUUGGAGAGCGAUGGGGUUCUUUGGGGUUCUUCUCCUUGCUGAGGUUUUCAGAUCCAACGAGGAAUCCACAGAAUCCCUGUGGGAUGCAGAAACUGUCAGAGAACUCCUUCCAUGCAACAAUGUCUCUGGAAAACUUCCACAUUAUUUCCAGGAUUAUCCGCUUCGAUAACCGAGACACCAGACCAGCUCGGCGGCAGACAGACAAGCUAGCUGCAAUCAGGUCAGUGUGGGACAAGUGGGUGGACCGCCUUCCCCUGUUUUACAACCCUGGGCCCAACAUUACUGUUGAUGAGCAGCUUAUGCCAUUUAGGGGCCGCUGCCCCUUCAGGCAGUACAUACCGUCUAAACCCGCAAAAUAUUGAAUCAAGAUCUGGUCCUGCCUGUGAUGCUGCAUAUAUGGGGAAGCCAGAUGGAGGAGCCCCUGAGAAGAACCAAUGGAUGUGGGUUGUACUGGACGUGACACAGGGACUCCGUGGCCACAACAUCAUUCAAUAACUGUUUUACUUCGCGCAAGCUGGGACAGGAGCUCCUCAAGAGGAAGAUGACGAUGGUAGAAACAGUAUGAAAAACAAGCCAGAGCUCCCACCUCAGCUGUUGAAUACACAGAACAGGCCUAUCAAUUCCUCUAAGUUUGUGUUCACAGCCGACACGUCUCUAGUGUCCUACGUGCCAAAUAAAGGCUAAAAUGUGGUACUCAUGAGUACGCUGCGUAGGGAUGAGAGAAUCUGUGGCCAGGAACAUCAAAAAUCAGAAAUCAUAAUGCAUAACAAUGCCACAAAAGGAGAGGUAGACAAUUUAGAUACGCUGGUGACUGACUACAGCUGCAAAAGAGAAACCCUACGUUGGCCACUUGUGAUAUUCUUCAACAUCUUGGACAUCUCGGCGUACAACGUGUUUGUCAUCUGGAUGGCGUUGAACCCAGACUGGAAAAGAGGGAGGCUCCAGAGGAGAUGGCUCUUUCUCGAGGAGCUGGGCAGGACAUUGGUAAGACCUCAAAUCCAGAGGAGGCAACAUAUCCCAAGGACCCCAGCUUCUGCAGCAAUCAUGAGGAGGAUUCAGGAGGAGGAUGAUGGUGUCCCAUCCGCUCGACCCACAGAACCAACAACUCCAAUACCGGAAUUGCAGCCGGUAGCAACACAAGAAGAAGCACUGCGAUGUGUGUGGACCCAAGAAGGACAGGAAGACACAGUACACGUGCAUCAAGUGCAAGAAGUACAUUUGCAACACACACAGUAAAACUCUGUCCCUCAUGUGGUGUGUAGACCUGCCUUAAUUUGUGUUAAAUGGGGCUUUUAUUGAUACAUGUGAUCAAGCAGAGGUAAAUAGCAAAUAUUAACCAUGUAUGCUGUCUAUAUUACUUGUAAUUGAUAUAAGUCAACAUCUAAGUAUUAAGUAUUUUUACGUAAACUGUUAUGGCUGUAUUGUUUUAAAACCCCAAUAAUGUGGUGGGUCCAUCAGACCCGCGAACAUUGGGUGAAUAACAAAAACAUGUACACCAGGCAAGGGUUAACACUAAGGGAAUCUUGAUUCAAACUUUUUUGUCACAGCCAGACCACAAUGCACCAGUAUGACAUUCAAUUCUAGCCAAUAUAUACACGUGCACAACCGUAUCAGCAUUUGUCUGAGAAACAAGAGGCCUGAACAAGCAUUGUGUGUAAUUUUAGUAGAAGGGGGCCAAGAGGACUAAGAUAUUUACAUACAAAUUCUUAAAUCAAUCGGGGAAAGCUCAACGGAUUGGCUAUAAUAUCACACUGCACUACCGUAUGUAGAGUGAGGUUUUUGUAUUGAAAGCAUAUGGCUCCACCCAGUGGUGGAAUUAGGUAAGUAACAUUUUACAAUACUGUGUGGAUGGAAAAAGUGUAAAUUAAUCAUUUUUAAGGAAUACACAGAUAAACACUGACAAACAGUGAAUAUGCUAAUCCACUAUCCACUAUCCAUCAAUAAAAAAAUGCUGCCCAUAUAUUUAUAGAUCAGAUAACAUAAUGCUUUACGGAUUAGUACUGGUACAAUAUAUAAACUAGUCCACAGGGUGGUGCUUUACUAAAGUCUGAUGGCGCUGGGCUGGAACAAAAGCCUUCACACACCACGUCCCUAAAGGACCCGAGGUUACCCAGAGGAAAUACUGUAGUAGGGCUUCCCUUUGCCAUCCUCAUUUGUUUGCACAUCUCACUACAGUCUGCAGAAUCCAAUAGUUCUGAUCAGGAACUAAGACGAGAGCGUUGCGAUGCUGCGUCAGUGGAUACAUCAACAUGACAAAUGGUGCGUGUAGCACAAGCAACCCAGCUACACGCACUGUUGUCGAGAUGUGUUUAUGUCAUGUUAGGUUCUCCAUUAAGGAAUCCUUCUUAGCUCCGAGAGCACGGCCUACACACCGCUCUUCUAACGCUUGUUAAUGAUGUAGUCGGGCAGCUUCUGACACCUUUAUAUGAUAACGUGCUUCUGUUACCAGCUUUUAACGCCUUAACAUGUAGGUUGUACUCUCUGUCUGUACUCCGCUGAGGUGAUUGUUCUCAUACCAAUUUCCCAAUGUUUUUGUUUGAUGAGUAAAAUCAAGCAAAAUCAAAACGAAUAGUUUCAUCACAGGCUGUGUCUGUAACCCAAUGGAUCUAUUUGAAUUAUUUUGAGAAGGAAAUCAUUUUUGCGGGAAAUGAUCAAAUGUAGGCCUACACAUAGAAAUAGAAUGUGCGUCCCCAGAACGUGCGUCCCCAUUCAAGUAAAUGAUGGCAUAAUGGGUGGAUUGGCAGCCAGUUUGAGUGUACCCAUAGGAGCAAAGCAGGAAGUAAAAGCAGGAAGUGUACCCAUCAAUCUGUGCUGUGAUUUCUUGAGUCAACUUUACUGAUAUGACAAAAAAAUACAUUCCAUUGCAUGAGCCACAUCAGUUAACAUCAUUUGAAUGAACAGUCUACGUUACCAUGGAAAUUGUUAUUAUCAUCACAAUACCAGGCAGCCAUUGCGAGUGUUCCUAUAGAUGCGGUAAAGGAGUCAAUGGAACGCAGACCGUUGCAACGACCAGAUUGGCGCACAUUCAACACAUCUGAUCUAACAAAGCGUAUUUGUCACAUUUGUCAUGAUUUAUGUAUUGUAACAGGCUCACAAUGUGGUUACUUAAGUCUGAUUUGGAUAUAUUUGGCGGUUUUCGCUGCAUAACAUUUAGAAGUUGUCCCUUUUCAGGUUUAAAAGAAGUGACUGUUAAAUUCUAACUCCCGUUCGUAUAAGGUGGUUAGCAUAGCUAGCACACAGAAAUGUGGUGGUCAGUCGUUUUGAACUGUAAUUCAGUUGAUUGGCGAUGAUGACAUGAACAUGUGUUGGGGUUGACAUCCAUAAAAGCAUUAUACUCAAGAGUUGUACCUCAACAUAUACACAAUAGCCUAAAUGCAGGCACAUUUUGCUGGUGGGCAAUGAGGAGAUUCGGGAUCUUUACCCCAUGGCCCUUUUCCCCCACCCAUUUCCUUGGCAACUCCAUUGUUUGGUCGAGUUUGAUUUACCACAUCUAUGAGUUUACCAGUCAAAUUGCCACAGUUAAAGGUUCCAAGCCUGUUCUGUUCAUUAUAUUUCUAUGUGCCUACACAUCUACCACCCAUCCCUCCCUCCCUCCACCCCCCUGACCCCAGACUCAACAUGCCACUCUUAGAUCAGGGUUAAUCUCUGCUCAGGAUAUUACUACAGUAUAAAUGAAUAGUGGGAGAGGAGAGCUGGCUAAAAAUAGCGGGAGAUUUGGUCCUGCUUCAAUAGCAGCCAUUGUUCGUUACUUUACAUAAUACCCACUGACGUGAACCCUUAUUGUGCUAACCCAAAGUAACACCAUAAACCAUCUAAUCUAACCGAACACAUCUGUAUUUGUGUCCAUAACGUUCACUUGCAUACAUCCAGUAAAUAUCAUUUAUGACAUGUGUUCAGUAAAUAUAGUUCUAUGCAAUAAUAAGUGGUCACUGUCACGUUCCUGACCUAUUUAUGUUAGUUUUUGUGUGUUAGUUGGUCAGGACGUGAGGUUGGGUGGGCAUUCUAUGUUAUCUGUUUCUAUGUUGGUUUUGGUUUGCCUGGUAUGGCUCUUGAUUAGAGGCAGGUGGUUUGCGUUUGCCUCUAAUUAAGAGUCAUAUUUAGGUAGGGCAUUCUCACUGUUUGUUUGUGGGUGAUUGUCUCCUGUGUCAGUAUGUUUGUUCGUACCACACUGGACUGUAGCGUUUGUUUGUUUCGUUUUCGUUUCGAUGUCGUCUGUUACCUGUACGUAAGUUUAUGUUUAGUUAUGUAAGUUUAUGUUCAGGUCUCGUCAACGUCGUUUUGUUAUUUUGUAGUUUUGCAAGUGUUUGUUUUGUUUCGUGUUGCCAUCUUUAUCGUUGUGUUAAUAAAGAUGGCUUAUUUCCCAAA
Long non-coding RNA from Salvelinus fontinalis (brook trout), 4854 nucleotides. RefSeq lists it as uncharacterized. The transcript is spliced from 2 exons. The record is from RefSeq and is a predicted model, not a curated record. NCBI's taxonomy places the organism in Eukaryota, Metazoa, Chordata, Actinopteri, Salmoniformes, Salmonidae.